Long non-coding RNA from Cygnus olor (mute swan), 1184 nucleotides. RefSeq lists it as uncharacterized. The record is from RefSeq and is a predicted model, not a curated record. The transcript has 3 exons. Lineage: Eukaryota; Metazoa; Chordata; Aves; Anseriformes; Anatidae.
CUACUUGUUACUCUUUUGUGGUCUUCACAAGGGUGCUGCUGUGUGACAGAAACAAAGCCAAAAAAAGAAGUAGAUAAGUACAUUAAGGAGACACCUUCAGCUAUGACCCAUGGUUUCUGGAAGGUGGGCAGGGAGACCUCAGUACAACCAACCCCGCUUGUUAACUGCCAACAGUGGACUUCUGAUGUGCUAUACAUGGUAAAAUGAAGAUCUUAAGAGGCUUAAAGCAUCAUCAUCAUUUCAUAUUGUGCAACUGUUGCUGGCAAGAUUUCGUUAAAAUGCCACCGUUUUCUCUUUAUGAAAUUCAUGCUCACAUGGACACCUUGGACAGUCUCAAAUAACAUCUUUUACACUUUUCAUGCAAGAUGUGUUGGAUUUAAAACAAAACAGAACAAAAUUCAAAAACAAAAACAAGCAAAAUAACCAAACAAACAACAACAAUCAAAAAUAAAUGCCCAAGCUUCCAUUCUGAUGACAUAAGAUGCAAGGAGUCUUUUCUUGGCUUUGAUCGUGGCCAGGUGGACGUAACAAGGCUUUCUGAAACAGAAGAUGCACCUGUCCUGGUAUCUCAGGCAGUCCACAUCCCACAUUGUUGUUCUGCAAGGAUGACGGUGGGGAUGCUGGGUCACCUCCCGGCCCAUCUCCCUGGGCACAGAAGGAAUCACCAUCAGAGACCUGAUGUCACAGCAGAGCCUUGGGUGGUUGGUGGUGCCUGGAAUUGUUGCUCCCUGGUGGUGGGUUUCAGUCCUUUAAGAAAGUGGAGGAUUAGUGUGUGCUGCUUGAAUUCACUCCCUUCGGGACACACUGCCUUUCUGGCUUUUUCUGGCCAUCCUCAAACUGACCUCGAGUUGUAACAGAUGCUGCAAAAAAGGCUUCUAAAUGUAUCAGAUGGUGCUCUCUCUUUUGAAAAUCUGUUUAAACAGCUGGGACGAGUUAAGUUGUAAAGGUCUGUUUGUGAUGUAGGUUCCACAGGGAGAGCUGAAUUGAAGAAGGUAUAUAGUAACCUUUUAGAAAAUAAACAAAACCCUUGAAUGUAGUAUUGCUUAACCUUAGCACAGAAAGAUGCAGGGCUUUUACUUCUCCUUCUGUUAACCAAAAUGUAUUUACAGAUUAUGUGUAUUUUUAAAGAUAGCAAACAUCUUUGGAGAUGGUGUCAAAAAAAUGGUAAUAAAGAAUACUCUCUG